CCAGAAUCAGUGACUGCUUGUAGCCUUUUGUGAGCGUUGUGUACAAGCAUGAAACCAAAUACUCAAGAUUGGGGGGAUCAAUUGUGAAAGCUGAAGAACUGGUCAUUGAAAAGCCCAUAUUGUUUGAGUACUAGACUGCAUGUCUAUGGUGGUUAGGGCCCCGAGUCCCUGAAGUGUCCUGAAUGGCAGCGCUGGAUCUAAACAUUACUGAGCAACUGCAUGGAAGAAUUCAAAUGUGCAGAGCAUGCUGGGAAGCUGAGCAAGCGUCACUGCUUAAGCAAAACCAAACACUCAUACAUGAGUCAGGACCAGCACAGAAAACUACAAACAGUCUUUGAUGACACACAUACUUGGACAGAUGGGGCCAGUGCAGCUGUCGGCUGGUCAGCGCAGGGUAUAAUGAAACAAAGGAGAACCUGUAGUUACAAGCAAGCCAAGCAUGCAACCAUUUAAUGUCUUUAGAUUCAAACAUCUGAACGAUGCUGAUGUCCUCACCCAUGUCUCCUCAGCACAACCACAGUUAUUCUGUCCUCUCCACAUUACACCAACCAAACUCACCACUCAUUCCUCAACUAAACAAACAGUCCAUAUUAUCUAUAAUGUCUACAACAAAACAUGGCAGCACAUAAGCUCAUAAACACAGAGGAUACUGGAGCGCUAUAUGUGGAUGUGCAUGUGUUUACUGUAUAUGUGUUUUGGCAACGCGAGUGAUUAGUUUACAGUGGCUAGAGCACAAAGCAUAAGGUCAUCAAUCAUUUCCCAGACAAAAGUGUCAAGCCCGUUGCACAAAAAGAGAAAGAAAGAGUGAGGGAGAGAGAGAAUGAAGGAGAAUUAUGAAACAUAAGGGCAGACAGAUGGAAAUAUGAAUGAUGGAUGUCGAGAAAAAGAGAGAGGGAGAGAUAUUCCUGACUUAGCAAAGAAAUACAUAUAAAUGAGGAAAGACUAGAGGAGGAAAGAUGGAGAGAAAGCAGAGAGGAGGAUACACUCAGCUGGGCCUCAGAGGAUAUGAGUGAGAAAGGGCUAAACGAAUAAUUUAAAUUAUAAUGACAUGAAGUUGGGUGAGGUACAGGGGAAAGUGGAGAGAGGGAAGUAAAAAAAUAUGGAAUGUGUGUUUUUUUUUUUUUUUUUACUUCAGGCACUUUAAUGUCCCAGGGGUGGAUUUUUUAUUAAAACUAACAGAUUUCAGAUUUCAGAUUUAUUUAUUUAUUUAUUUUUUUACAUUUAUUUUUUUUGUCUUUAAAACAGUAUUUAAUUAUUUUACCUUUGUUCCAGACUUAAAUGUUUAAACUAAAAUUAUGAAAUCUAUCUAAAAAUAAAUAAAUAAAUCAAACUAUGCA
Cyprinus carpio (common carp) is the source of this 1337-nucleotide long non-coding RNA. The record is from Ensembl. Lineage: Eukaryota; Metazoa; Chordata; Actinopteri; Cypriniformes; Cyprinidae.